AGCGAACGCUGGCGGCAGGCCUAACACAUGCAAGUCGAACGAACCUUUCGGGGCUAGUGGCGGACGGGUGAGUAACACGUGGGAACGUGCCUUUAGGUUCGGAAUAACUCAGGGAAACUUGUGCUAAUACCGAAUGUGCCCUUCGGGGGAAAGAUUAAUCGCCUUUAGAUCGGCCCGCGUCUGAUUAGCUAGUUGGUUGAGGUAAUGGCUCACCAAGGCGACGAUCAGUAGCUGGUCUGAGAGGAUGAUCAGCCACAUUGGGACUGAGACACGGCCCAAACUCCUACGGGAGGCAGCAGUGGGGAAUCUUGCGCAAUGGGCGAAAGCCUGACGCAGCAAUGCCGCGUGAAUGAUGAAGGUCUUAGGAUUGUAAAAUUCUUUCACCGGGGACGAUAAUGACGGUACCCGGAGAAGAAGCCCCGGCUAACUUCGUG
RNAcentral lists this ribosomal RNA (434 nucleotides) under uncultured bacterium. Its description in RNAcentral is "partial 16S ribosomal RNA". It matches the Rfam family "Bacterial small subunit ribosomal RNA", at positions 29 to 507 of the family's 1533-position model. The record is from RNAcentral.